ACUAAAAGUCCUCCUUAAUUCAAGAAGCUUUUCCUUGAAGUGGUACUACUUUAUGUAAACAGCAAAUUGAAAAGGAUAUACAAUUCCUUUCAAUUUGUCAGCUUAGUGCACAGUGCGAGUACUUUUUUUUAUCAAUUAUUGGAGGAUAUCCAUCUCAGCGGAUCCACAACUUUCGGAGAUGGCCUAAGCAACAUAUCCACGUACGGCCACGGCAGCUCGACGUCCAGCGGCCGUUUGUCUUCAAACUUCGCAACUUCUUUAAGAACCACGGCAACCACUUCACCUGCUCCAAGAUCUACAGCGCCUGCACAGACUCAAAGAACGGUUGCUGCUCCUCCAAUAAAAUAGUCACAUUGACAAGUCUUGGGCGAACGGUGGCUGUUUCCUCCGCAAAACCGGCGGUACCCAAGGUCGGCGCCCCUACAUCAAGCAGCUCCCUUGCGCUUGGCGACUCCAUCGCGGCUAAGCAAGCCUAUCGCGUCCAGCGGCUCUCUGCCAACAACUCAUGAGCGGCUCUCCAUCAGCGACUCAGCGGCUUCAUCAGCGGCAGCGACCGACUCCAGCCACCAGUUCGCCAAUAAUUCGUCCACGCCGAACCAGCAGCUCCAAUCUAUAACGGCAGCAGCUCGCGAACGUCUCUGGCAUCAGUAACUCCGACCCAGCUGGAGGUCCACCGUUCGUUUGUCUCUUCUGUGCCCAGGUCUCAGCGGCAACAACUUUUUAAGGCUUCUCGGAGGCAUCUCGUUUGUGGCAGCAGUAACAACACCUCCGGCAGCCAUUAAUUCCAGCAAUUCCAACUUCAAAGGAACCAUAAACAACAAGAGAAUUUCCCUAUAUUUAACGAGCAAACGAUUUUUCGAACAAACUGUGUUUGAAUUGCUUUUGCAUGUCGCCAUCCAAGAGAAAUAUCAUGACAUGAAUUUAUAAGCCGUUUGUCCAGAGUUUGUGAAAGUGAAAGUGAAGUCUGCUUGCCGAUAAGAAUGAGAUAAGCUGGAGAUGUAGCAUCUCUUUUCAAAUUUUCUUCCAUCUCACUUUUCGCAUACUACUCAGAACCCCUCCACCAACUUUGAUACUAUUCAGCAGUAUUUGUACAUCGAACUAAUUAAGUUGAUAGUUGUAAUACUUUAGUAUCUUUAAAAAUUGUUGGAUGAUGUUCCUUCUAUUUAUCUCAUACAUUUUUCUUA
Molecule: long non-coding RNA, 1184 nt
Organism: Mercurialis annua (annual mercury)
Lineage: Eukaryota; Viridiplantae; Streptophyta; Magnoliopsida; Malpighiales; Euphorbiaceae
Exons: 2
Source: RefSeq, a predicted model, not a curated record